CAUGCCCCCUUUCAGUCAGGUUAGUCUGUGCCUGCUGCUAAUUCCCUUCUCCUCUUCCGUGGCCCAAUCUUGUUUCUAUUGAAAUCAGCUGCAAUUUACUGUUGGCAUGGCCCUACUAUGGAGGAAAGACACAGGGUGAAGAGGAAGAGCCUGUGUUGUAUGAGAAACUGGGAAAGUCUAAAGCUUUGAGGCAGGAAAGAUGGCUAAAAAAAGUCCACUAACUGACAGAUGGUGUAUCUUGCCAUAAAAUGCUUCCUCAUAGUAUCCUCAGCAGAGAGAAUAGUUGCUUAAUGGCCAUGGGAACUGAGCUACCCCGAAAUGAAGUCCCUUCAAGAAAAGGCUGAGUCAUACUCAUACCUGGGGCAGCAGGGGGUCCUGCUCCCUGGCUGGACGACGUCUCCUAGGAUGCAUUGCAGGCUUCCUGUGACUGAGCUACUAUAGUCCCAUAUUUUGUCUUCUGUUGAAUUUUUUGACAGAAAAUUCUGCUGACAUCUCUCAUUUCCUGUGGAAAAACUUUUGAUUUUGAUGCAACUCCAUUUUCCAAUGGGAAAACAUUUCAUUAGAAAUUUUCUGACUGGCCUGUCUUCCAAGACAGUGGGCACUGUCCUAAAUCAAUGAAAAUAAGUGAGAGCUUUUUUAAACCGUUGUUUUAGUGCUCAGAGCUGUUACUAACCUGGGGAUGACUAUACCUUCUGUACAUAUAACAUAUACUUCUACAACACAUUCCAGAUGAUAUCAAAGGAAUUUUCAAACAAUGAAUGUAGCUUCAAUUCACCCCUGCAUAUUUUACAGAUGAGGUAGCUGAGAUACCGAGAAGUUGCCCUGAUUACACAGAAGUCUCUGGCAGGGGAUAGAAUCCAGGUUUCCUGACUGCCAGACUACUGUCCCUUAACAGCAAGACUCUCCUAUCUUUUUGAGAGCAUGAAGGGAGAGCAGGGAUAGAGG
This is a long non-coding RNA of Mauremys reevesii (Reeves's turtle), 945 nucleotides long. RefSeq lists it as uncharacterized. The record is from RefSeq and is a predicted model, not a curated record. The transcript is spliced from 3 exons. Lineage: Eukaryota; Metazoa; Chordata; Testudines; Geoemydidae.